UACGGAGGAUGCAAGCGUUAUCCGGAUUUAUUGGGUUUAAAGGGUGCGCAGGUUGUUUGAUAAGUCAGUGGUGAAAGUCUGUCGCUUAACGGUAGGAUUGCCAUUGAUACUGUUAGACUUGAAUAUGGAUGAGGUAGGCGGAAUGUGUAGUGUAGCGGUGAAAUGCAUAGAUAUUACACAGAACACCGAUUGCGAAGGCAGCUUACUAAUCCAUCAUUGACGCUGAGGCACGAAAGCGUGGGCAUCAAA
Molecule: ribosomal RNA, 249 nt
Filed under: uncultured prokaryote
Description: partial 16S ribosomal RNA
Rfam family: Bacterial small subunit ribosomal RNA
Source: RNAcentral